GACAGAGGGUGCAAACGUUGCUCGGAAUCACUGGGCUUAAAGGGCGCGUAGGCGGGCCGACGAGCCAGGGGUGAAAUCCUCCAGCUUAACUGGAGAACAGCCUUUGGGACCGGCGGCCUCGAGGGGUGCAGGGGCAUGCGGAACUCAGGGUGGAGCGGUGAAAUGCGUAGAGAUCCUGAGGAACACCGGUGGCGAAAGCGGCGUGCUGGACACCUACUGACGCUGAGGCGCGAAAGCCAGGGGAGCGAACGGG
This 253-nucleotide ribosomal RNA is filed under the name uncultured bacterium. RNAcentral's name for it is "partial 16S ribosomal RNA". It matches the Rfam family "Bacterial small subunit ribosomal RNA", at positions 524 to 776 of the family's 1533-position model. The record is from RNAcentral.